This 253-nucleotide ribosomal RNA is filed under the name uncultured bacterium. RNAcentral describes it as "partial 16S ribosomal RNA". It matches the Rfam family "Bacterial small subunit ribosomal RNA", at positions 524 to 776 of the family's 1533-position model. The record is from RNAcentral.
CACGUAGGGACCAAGCGUUGUCCGGAUUCAUUGGGCGUAAAGGGCUCGUAGGCGGCCAACUAAGUCGGACGUGAAAUCCCUCAGCUUAACUGGGGAACUGCGUCCGAUACUGGAUGGCUUGGAUUCGGGAGAGGGAUGCGGAAUUCCAGGUGUAGCGGUGAAAUGCGUAGAUAUCUGGAGGAACACCGGUGGCGAAGGCGGCAUCCUGGACCGAUAUUGACGCUGAGGAGCAAAAGCCAGGGGAGCAAACGGG